This 253-nucleotide ribosomal RNA is filed under the name uncultured bacterium. Its description in RNAcentral is "partial 16S ribosomal RNA". It matches the Rfam family "Bacterial small subunit ribosomal RNA", at positions 524 to 776 of the family's 1533-position model. The record is from RNAcentral.
GACGAACCGUGCAAACGUUAUUCGGAAUCACUGGGCAUAAAGGGCGCGUAGGCGGCUUUCUAAGUCAGGGGUGAAAUCCGGCAGCUCAACUGUCGCAGUGCCUUUGAUACUAGAGAGCUCGAGGGAGGUAGGGGUCUGUGGAACUUCCGGUGGAGCGGUGAAAUGCGUUGAUAUCGGAAGGAACGCCGGUGGCGAAAGCGACGGACUGGAUCUCUUCUGACGCUGAGGCGCGAAAGCCAGGGGAGCAAACGGG